GACGAACGCUGGCGGCGUGCCUAACACAUGCAAGUUGAGCGACGAACCAGGGCUUGCCCUGGGGCAAAGCAGCGAACGGGUGAGUAACACGUGGGUAACCUACCCCGAUAACCGGGACAACCCGAGGAAACUCGGGCUAAUACCGGAUGUACUCACUGGACUUCGGUUCAGUGCGUAAAGGAAGCUUCGGCCUCCGUAUCGGGAGGGGCCCGCGGCCCAUUAGUUUGUUGGUGCGGUAACGGCUCACCAAGACCGCGAUGGGUAGCUGGUCUGAGAGGACGAUCAGCCACACUGGGACUGAGACACGGCCCAGACUCCUACGGGAGGCAGCAGUGGGGAAUCUUGCGCAAUGCGCGAAAGCGUGACGCAGCAACGCCGCGUGGGGGAAGAAGGCCUUCGGGUUGUAAACCCCUUUCAGGAGGGACGAAGGUUCGGCGGUGAAUAGCCGUCCGGACUGACGGUACCUCCACAAGAAGCCCCGGCUAACUACGUG
RNAcentral lists this ribosomal RNA (493 nucleotides) under uncultured bacterium. RNAcentral's name for it is "partial 16S ribosomal RNA". It matches the Rfam family "Bacterial small subunit ribosomal RNA", at positions 28 to 507 of the family's 1533-position model. The record is from RNAcentral.